RNAcentral lists this ribosomal RNA (523 nucleotides) under uncultured bacterium. RNAcentral's name for it is "bacterial SSU rRNA". It matches the Rfam family "Bacterial small subunit ribosomal RNA", at positions 29 to 451 of the family's 1533-position model. The record is from RNAcentral.
AGUGAACGCUGGCGGCGUGCCUAACACAUGCAAGUCGAACGGGCUAGUGCUUCGCACUAGUCUCUUUCUGGGGUUGUUACUCUAAGGCUACCUGCUAAAGUUAUUGCUUUAAAGCAGGGGUUUUAGGAGACUUUCUCCGAAAGGGGCCAGUGCGGAGCACUGGCCAGUGGCGAACGGGUGAGUAACACGUGGGUAAUCUACCCUCGAGUGGGGAAUAAGCUUCCGAAAGGGGGUCUAAUGCCGCAUAACGUUUCAUAACGAUGGUUAUGAAACCAAAGCCCAAAAGGCGCUCGAGGAGGAGCCUGCGUCCUAUCAGCUUGUUGGCAGGGUAAUGGCCUACCAAGGCUAUGACGGGUAGCCGGCCUGAGAGGGUGUCCGGCCACACUGGAACUGAGACACGGUCCAGACUCCUACGGGAGGCAGCAGUGGGGAAUUUUGCGCAAUGGGGGAAACCCUGACGCAGCGACGCCGCGUGUGGGACGAAGGCCUUACGGUUGUAAACCACUGUCAGCAGGGAAGAAUG